This 461-nucleotide ribosomal RNA is filed under the name uncultured bacterium. RNAcentral's name for it is "bacterial SSU rRNA". It matches the Rfam family "Bacterial small subunit ribosomal RNA", at positions 926 to 1391 of the family's 1533-position model. The record is from RNAcentral.
CAAGCGGUGGAUGAUGUGGUUUAAUUCGAUGCAACGCGAAAAACCUUACCUACCCUUGACAUGUCUAGAAUUUUGCAGAGAUGUGAAAGUGCUCGAAAGAGAACUAGAACACAGGUGCUGCAUGGCCGUCGUCAGCUCGUGUCGUGAGAUGUUGGGUUAAGUCCCGCAACGAGCGCAACCCUUGUCAUUAGUUGCUACGAAAGGGCACUCUAAUGAGACUGCCGGUGACAAACCGGAGGAAGGUGGGGAUGACGUCAGGUCCUCAUGGCCCUUAUGGGUAGGGCUACACACGUCAUACAAUGGCCGGUACAGAGGGCUGCCAACCCGCGAGGGGGAGCCAAUCCCAGAAAACCGGUCGUAGUCCGGAUCGCAGUCUGCAACUCGACUGCGUGAAGUCGGAAUCGCUAGUAAUCGCGGAUCAGCUUGCCGCGGUGAAUACGUUCCCGGGUCUUGUACACACC